This is a non-coding RNA of Jatropha curcas, 4729 nucleotides long. NCBI's taxonomy places the organism in Eukaryota, Viridiplantae, Streptophyta, Magnoliopsida, Malpighiales, Euphorbiaceae. The record is from RefSeq and is a predicted model, not a curated record.
UUCAGUUACGCUCCCUAAUACAAGCGCUUCCAUGGCCACAAGCCUUCGCUGACAGUGUUGAAGAUGUCGAAGACGUUGAUCACGCGGCGAAGUAUUUUGGAGACCACUUAUUCAGCUCCAGUUUUUAGGAGAUUUCAAUUUCAACAAGAAAUAGUUAUGGGUACGAUAUUUACCAAUUCAAUCACCUGUGCUGGUUAUACUAGUUACAGAAAUAGACAUAAAGGUUCAAGCUUUGACAAAUUUUUAGGAGAGAAAUGUAAAUAUGGGUCAUUUACUAAUGUUGAUGAUGCCUUAGUUUCGUUUGAUCGGUUGCUUCAUACAAAUCCUCCUCCUUCUAUUAUGCAAUUUAAUCAGUUAUUAUCUGCACUUGUAAGAAUGAAGCAUUAUCACACUGUGGUUUCCUUGGUUGGAAAAAUGGAGUUAUUAGGAAUCUCAUUUAAUGUUUAUACUUUUACUAUUUUGAUUAAUUGCUUUUGCCAUAUGCACCUUGUAGAUUUUGGGUUCUCAAUUUUAGGGAAAAUUCUCAAAUUUGGAUUUCAGCCCAGCAUUGUAACAUUGAAUACCUUAAUUAAUGGACUAUGCACAGAGGGUAAAGUUGUUCAAGCGGUGGAACUUUUAGAUGAGAUAGUAGCCAGAGGGUAUCAACCUACUGUAUAUACUCAUACUAAUAUAGUUAAUGGUCUGUGUAAAAUUGGGAAAACCAGCUUGGCUAUUGGUUGGUUGAAAAAAAUGGUUGAGAGUGGUUGUGAGCCUGAGGUGAUGGCGUAUAGUACAAUCAUUGAUAGUCUUUGCAAGGAUAGGCUAGUUACUGAGGCUUUAGACCUCUUUUCUCAAAUGAGGAGUAUAGGCAUUUCACCUACCGUUGUCACUUACAACUCAUUAAUUUAUGGUAUGAGCAAUUUGGGUCAAUGGAAGCAAGCAGCAGCUUUAUUCAAAGAAAUGCGACAGUGGAACAUAGCUCCAGAUAUAUUUACUUUUAGUAUAUUGGUUGAUGCACUUUGUAAGGAAGGAAAUGUUUUGGAGGCCAAAGGUAUGUUUGGUAAGAUGAUUCAAAGGGGCAUUGAGCCUGAUUUAUUCAUCUACAGCUCCUUAAUCCGUGGUCUCUGCAAUUCUAGCCAAUGGAAGGAAUCGACCACUUUGUUGAAUGAAAUGAUCAAGCGAAACAUCCCUCCAGAUGUUGUUACAUUCAGUACAUUGGUUGAUGUGUUCUGCAAGAAAGGAAUGCUUUCAGAGGCUCAAAUUAUUGUCGAUAUGAUGAUUCAAAGAGGCUUAAAGCCCAAUGUUGUCACUUACAAUUCAUUGAUAGAUGGAUAUUGUCUCCAAAGCCAAAUGGAUGAGGCCCGAAGAGUAUUUGAUGCAAUGGUCAGCAAGGGUUGUAUACCUGAUGUUCUUAGUUACAACAUCUUGAUUAAAGGAUACUGUAUGAGUGGAAGGAUAGAUGAGGCAAGUCAACUUUUUGAUGAAAUGCCACAAAAUGGAUUGAUUCCUAACUUAAUUACUCACACUACUCUAAUACGUGGCUUAUGCCAUACAGGGAGACCUCAUGCAGCAGAAGAGCUUUUCAGUAAAAUGAGUUCUCAUGGCUGUCCUCCAGAUAUAAUAACUUACUCAACUUUGCUUGAUGGCUUUUGCAAACAAGGGCACCUUGAUGAAGCACUGGCGCUAUUUCAAUCUAUGAAAAAAAGCCAGUCGAAACCUAAUAAUGUGAUCUAUAAUAUCCUGAUUGGCGGCAUGUGCAAGGCUGGGAGGCUUAAAGAUGCAGAGGAACUGAUUUCUUGUCUUUCAGUUGAAGGGUUUUAGGCUAAUAUUUGAACAUCUAGUUUAUUAAUAUGUGGCCUUGAGAAGAAUUAAAAGAUGAAUAAUAUAGAUUUCCCCAAAAAUGGAGGAAGAUGACUGCUGAACUAAUAGCUGCUCUUUGUCAUGAAAUGGCCAGUGCAUGCAUUUCUGCAAAUUCCACAAUGACCGCCUUGGUCGUGGAGCUUCUGUCAAGUACUAUAUAUUGUUCUGAAGAUGCUUCAAGGGUUUUCUCAAGGCUCUCAAGGUGCAUAUGUGAAGUGAGAUAUUUAUAUUAAUGAAUCUUCAAUGGAUACAGAAAACUGCAAGGAGCUUCAAAUAUGUUGUAGCCAUUUACUGAAGCAAAUGUCUACAUACGCCACUGAGGCAAAAUCUUGAAUGAUAUAGCCAACUAAUUUUGUUGGAGAGAAUUCAAGAUCUUUUGCAUUGACAGGAUCUCUACUUAUAUAGGAAACCUGGGCACUUACCUUGAAAUUGUUUUCCAGCAACUUGACGUAAGUAUCUCAAAUUUCUUAUGUAAAUAGUUCUGUACCAAGAAUGUGAUGACUCUGGUGAGUAUCAAUAGUUCUUCUAUAUAUGGUUGUCCUGUGUUGAAUUCAUUUUGAAAUUUGAGCUCGAAAUAUCUUAAUAUGAUGACAUCUGACUAAAAUUCCCAAUUCUGAUGUGAAACUGCUCACUUCAGUUAUCUUGUUCUCAUAUCAGUAUCCUGCUUUUGAAGGUUAUGUAUUGUCAUAAAAUGUGCAGCUUUCAUUUUGGAUUCAACAAAUUUGCUCUCUGAUAUGGUUAAAACACUAGAUGCCAGGAAUUUCGAACUCCUUGCACACAAAGAAUUCAUGUUCAGAAAGUUAAAGACAAGCCAUGUGUCAGUUUGCAACUUUCUUGGGGGACAUCAAAGGUGAUGAUGAUGAUAAUAAUGUUGCAGCAAGAAUUUUAGGAGCUACUUCAGCUUCAGAUUUAAGGAGCUUGAGCAAGAAGUGCAAAUGGACUUUUCAAACAACAGUUUAUCAGGCAGCAUAUCAACAAGUUUGGAUUCACUUAUUGGACCCAAAUUGUUAAGGCAAAGGAACAAUAGGCUUUUCUUGGGUCCCUUCAGCCUUACAAAACUGCACACAAGUAGAAACUCUUAAUCUUGGAGAUAAUGAGUAUUCAGGAAAGGUUCCUGAAUGGAUUGCAGAGAAGCUCCAACCUGUGCUGAUUAUAAGCCUGAGAUCAAAUUUGCUUACGGGAGAAAUUCCAUCUAAUUUAUGCAGUCUGUACUCUCUUCAUAUGCUGGACCUAGCACAAAAUGACUUUUCAAGAGAUAUUCCAAACUGCAUUGGCAAUUUGAGUGGAAUGACAACUGUUCUUGACCGUGCAAGGUAUGAAGGACGGUUGUGGAUAGUGGCAAAAAGUAGAGAAUACUUUUAUGAUGGCACCUUUUAUCUCGUAAACAGCGUAGAUCUAUCAGACAAUAACCUAUUUGGAGAAAUGCCAAAAGGUUGAUAGAUCUCUCAAGAUUAGGAACUUCGAACUUGUCCAUGAAUCAAUUGAAUGUUAAAAUACCAGCUGAUAUUGAUAACUUACAAAGACUCAAAACUUAAGAUCUUUCAAUUAACAAUGUUUGUGGUACAAUCCCUCUAAGCAUGACCUCCAUUAUUUCUCUUAAUCAUUUGAACUUCCCAUUUGAGUGUCCGAUCAGAUCCAACCAUUUAUGGAGGAAAUCCUGCACCAUAUGACCUUCCAGUACCCACAAGGUGCAAUGGCGACAAAGAUGAAAAACCUGAUCCUCUACUAAAAGGAAUCUAUGAUGAAGAAAAAGAAGAUAGAGAUGAAAAUGAAAUGUUCUGGUUUUACAUAAGCAUAGUUCCAAGGUUUGCUGUAGGGCUUUGGGUCAUCUGUGGAACUCUAAUAGCAAUGAAGACAUCGAGACAAUCCUUUUUCUAGUUCAUUGAAUGACACGAGAGACAGGUUGUUUGCUGCUUUUUCUGUCACAUUUGCUCGCUUGAAAAGAUCGUAAGCAGUAAGAUACUUGGGAGGGGAGAUAACACUAGAAGGUGCUGUAGAAUACAGGUAUGUGAAAGCUUUGUUAUACUGGAAGUAGAUGUACUCUAUAUUGAUUGAAAUAAAUCAUUCUGAGAAGUCUUUGUCAAAUGAUAGGCUAGGACAUGUUAUCAGCAAGACUAAGUGUAUAUAGAAAAUUUUGAGUAUAAGUGUUACACAAAAGAUUUCACAAAAUCCAAGAUCAUGAAAUUUCCUUUUUGCUAUUCUUGAGAACUUUCUUUGACCUUGUUGUUCUGAAUGUCUGACCGUUGCAUGAAUGUGAGAAAGAACUAGAAUAUAAUGUGGAUGAGCUAAUGAGUUUUCAUCUAAUAGUACUGUAAAGUUUCGAGUUUGAAUCCCAGUCAGAGCUAAUUAACUGAAAAUAGAUACUCUAAAUGACAGCCAUCGGAUUGGAUCAGCUGUACAGAUGCUAAUCCAAGGGACCUAAAUUAUUCUUCUAGAUUAUGGGAAUCUGCAGAUGAUAUUCAAUUUAUUGACAUCUCACAACUGCUUAUGCACCUAACUCUAAUGAAAACUGACUCAAUUUAAAAGAAAUAUGGUUAGCAAGGUAAAGUAUAACUUCUGAUUUAACACCUUUGGAUCUUUGCUUAUGUUUUGUUAUUCAGUACCUUCUAUAUUUUUCCUUUUCAGGUCCAAGCAAUGAUGAACACGACACAAAGCAGUAUGUAUUUGAUGCAAAUAAACAAUAACAAAAUACAAUGUACAGUAUACUGGUUUAGACAUUGACAUGUAUAAGACAAAAGGCAGUAUAUUAGUGCAAAUGAAAUAAGAAAGAAAUAUAUUUAUGUCAGGCUUGAAUUGAGUGAAGGUGAUUCAUCCUCUUGGGAUAGGAUUUUAGUCUUGUAUGUAUAUAUAUAUUUUAUUGACAUAAACAAUGAGAAAAAUUGGUAGCAGA